This is a long non-coding RNA of Oreochromis aureus, 1487 nucleotides long. NCBI's taxonomy places the organism in Eukaryota, Metazoa, Chordata, Actinopteri, Cichliformes, Cichlidae. The record is from Ensembl.
GGCGUGCCAAGAUGGCGGAGUGAGUAGACGCUUUCUACCGAGUUCUGCACAGAAAGUUCGUGAACAACAGUAAAAACUCAACUUUAUGCUGCCAACACUAACAUUUAACACUAACAAUUAACUAAACAAGAGAAGAUACAGCAAUCAUAGGGCAAGAAGCAGCAGAAUGCCGAAUCAGAAAGGAGCGAAAAGGGGACUGGAAAGUUCCAAGUCUAAGCUAGCCCCUGAGAAUGCUAACGAGGAGAGGGCUACACCCAGCAACGUGAUAAUGGAUAGCUGCCAUAACUACGCAGCUACUGCGGUGGCACUCACGUUAGCCGAAGAAGAAAUGGAUGAGUUCCCACCUCUCCCUGUUACACCUCUUAAAUCGCCAGCUCCGAAGAAGGUGAUGUAUGAACGCAGCAGCUCUGACCCAGAUGAUGUAAAUCAGAUUAAUAAAUUAAUAAACACCAGGUCUGAUAACAUUGAGAGCAUGGUGAGAGAGAACUCGAACAUGGUGAAAGAGAAUACGCUCCAGAUUGAGGGUCUCAAAAAGACGAUUGAUUUUGUGUGCGCAGAAAUGAAAGAUGUGAAGGGAAAAGUUUGCGACCUGGAAAAAAAAGUAACUAAAGAGGAAGGUAGAGUGGACAACUGCCAACAGAGAAUAUCUGAGUUGGAAAGAUAUUCCAGGAGGUGGAAUCUCAGACUACAUGGAGUCAAGGAGGCUGAGAAAGAAGACGUAAGGGGAAAGGUGAUUGAGAUAUGCCAGUCUGUUCUGCCGGAGCAAAAUCAUAGGCUGCCUGACGUCAUCGACACCGUACACCGACUCGGAGCCAAGCGACAAGGUAGCACCAGACCUAGAGGCAUCAUCGUGCAGUUCACCUCCCGAAUCUACAGAGAUGCUGUAUGGAAAACCGCCAAAACAUCCUCCUACCUGCAGGACAAUCAUUUGAGGUUCGCUGAAGAUCUGUCCAGGGAGGACAGAGAACGUUGUGACAAACUGUGGCCGAUGAUUGACAAAGCCCGUAAGGAGGGUAAGCCGGCUUAUUUCGUGGGAGGCCGAGGAUUCAUCAGUGGAUCAGAAGUUUUCCCUCCUUCAUAGAGAUUCAGUCUCCGACAUGACAUUUCUGAAGUCACAUACUUGGGACUGUUAAUAUCCAAAGAUCAAAAAUCAAGAUGCUCUUCAAACUUCACUCCAAUUAUACAGAAAACCCUAAAGAAGUUCAACCAGUGGCUGCAAAGGGACUUGUCGUUGAAAGGUAGAGUGUUGAUUACUAAAGCUGAAGGGAUAUCCCGUUUAACAUAUGCUGCUCUGUCUUUACAUCUGGAUAAGAAAAUUAGUAAAGACACUGACCGUAUGCUCUUUAAUUUUAUAUGGAAGAACCGUACGCAUUAUAUUAGAAAAACUGUUGUGAUGAAUAAGUACGAAUCAGGUGGGCUUAACGUCUUAGACUUUUCUACUUUGAAUAACACUUUCAAAAUUAAUUGGGCUAAACAUUUUCUUAAAA